UAAAACAAUGUUUAUUGUUAAGAGAAUGAGAAAUAUAUAUUGCCGGAUCAAGGACGUUUAUUUCAGUAUGUUAGAGUUUGGACCUACCUAAGUAGCGUUUGUAAAUACGUGAGUUCAUACAUGGAAAUAGCUACUGAAGAAAAUAUUUUGUGAGUUUAACUUAGAAAAACAAGAGAAUUGUAAGACGAGUUUCUCUGUAUAUAGAACGCAUUUAAAGUAUACAGUGGUUUAGGAUUUAAUGAUGAUGUCUGAAUGCAGCAGUGAUCUUGUUAUCUCGCAACAGCAUGCAGCACGCCCACCGCCAAUAGCACUAGGAAUCAACGUGGAAAAGCCAAAAUUCCCUCAAUAUGCCGUGUUUGCCGAACGUUUUAAAUCUUUCAGAGAAUGGCCAAAAUAUUUACCAGUAGACAAGCUAGAUCUGGUAGAAGCAGGAUUAGUGUACACAGGUAUUAAAACUAAGACGUAGAUUCUUUAUUGCACUCAUGACUUUCCAGCGUUUCAACUACGAGACUUUACAAAAUAUAUUUGAAUAUUCAGUUGUGCAACAUCAAAAGUUAUCAUUGCUUCUAGCACAUCUGUUGUAGGACAUGAAUUGUGGCUGUCUACUAUUUCUAUACAUAUUUUCAACAUCAUCACCUAAGAAGUCUUCCUGGGCAUAGAUUGGAGGCAUUUCUAAAUAUUACCAAUUCGUUAAGGUUUUCAAUCGCACAUUUCUCAGUUAAAACGUGCAGUUCGAUAGAUGUGUACUAUGGGUAUUGAACAAGUGUAAAAUUAUCUUCUAUUGUGUACCAGUCA
Molecule: long non-coding RNA, 795 nt
Organism: Mercenaria mercenaria
Lineage: Eukaryota; Metazoa; Mollusca; Bivalvia; Venerida; Veneridae
Exons: 2
Source: RefSeq, a predicted model, not a curated record